This 463-nucleotide ribosomal RNA is filed under the name uncultured bacterium. RNAcentral describes it as "partial 16S ribosomal RNA". It matches the Rfam family "Bacterial small subunit ribosomal RNA", at positions 28 to 507 of the family's 1533-position model. The record is from RNAcentral.
GAUGAACGCUGACAGAAUGCUUAACACAUGCAAGUCGAUGGGGAAGUGGUGCUUGCACCAUGGUAACCAUGGCGGACGGGUGAGUAACGCGUAAGGAACUUGCCUGCGGGACUGGGAUAGCAGCAGGAAACUGCUGAUAAUAUCGGAUAAGGUCAUUAAGCUGCAUAGCUUAGUGAUGAAAGGAGACGCCUGCGGAGAGCCUUGCGUCCUAUUAGCUAGUUGGAGGGGUAACGGCCCACCAAGGCGAAGAUAGGUAGCCGGCCUGAGAGGGUGGACGGCCACAAGGGGACUGAGAUACGGCCCUUACUCCUACGGGAGGCAGCAGUGGGGAAUAUUGGACAAUGGGGGCAACCCUGAUCCAGCAAUUCUGUGUGCACGAAGACGGUUUUCGGAUUGUAAAGUGCUUUCAGCAGGGAAGAAGGAAGUGACGGUACCUGCAGAAGAAGCGACGGCUAAAUACGUG